Molecule: transfer RNA, 83 nt
Filed under: Coemansia sp. RSA 1199
Lineage: Eukaryota; Fungi; Kickxellomycota; Kickxellomycetes; Kickxellales; Kickxellaceae
Description: tRNA-Leu
Rfam family: tRNA
About the family: Transfer RNA (tRNA) molecules are approximately 80 nucleotides in length. Their secondary structure includes four short double-helical elements and three loops (D, anti-codon, and T loops). Further hydrogen bonds mediate the characteristic L-shaped molecular structure. tRNAs have two regions of fundamental functional importance: the anti-codon, which is responsible for specific mRNA codon recognition, and the 3' end, to which the tRNAs corresponding amino acid is attached (by aminoacyl-tRNA synthetases). tRNAs cope with the degeneracy of the genetic code in two manners: having more than one tRNA (with a specific anti-codon) for a particular amino acid; and 'wobble' base-pairing, i.e. permitting non-standard base-pairing at the 3rd anti-codon position.
Source: RNAcentral
GGUGUGGUGGCCGAGAGGUUAAAGGCGUCAGGCUUAAGCCCUGAUCCCGUAAGGGUUCGUGGGUUCGAACCCCACCCGCACCA